This 65-nucleotide transfer RNA is filed under the name Acropyga fuhrmanni. RNAcentral's name for it is "tRNA-Arg". The record is from RNAcentral. Lineage: Eukaryota; Metazoa; Arthropoda; Insecta; Hymenoptera; Formicidae.
UCUUUUAAAGUAAAUUUACAUUUAAUUUCGACUUAAAUCUUGAUUAAUAUAUUAAUCUAAAAGAA